RNAcentral lists this unclassified non-coding RNA (247 nucleotides) under Hevea brasiliensis (rubber tree). The record is from RNAcentral. Lineage: Eukaryota; Viridiplantae; Streptophyta; Magnoliopsida; Malpighiales; Euphorbiaceae.
UGGAGUGCCAUACAGAGCCAGUUUCGUGGAUUUUGUUACUGAAGUAAACAAGAGCCACAAAAUUGAAGGAUACUGUAUAGAUGUGUUCCUUGAAGCAAGGAAACUAGUCCCGUAUGAUGUACCUUACAGGUUUGAGCCUUUUGGGGAUGGUCGGUCCGAUCCAAACUAUAAUGAGCUCGUGAGGAUGGUGGCAGAAGAUGUAUUUGAUGCAGCUGUUGGAGACAUUGCGAUUGUAAGAAACCGGACG